Molecule: long non-coding RNA, 323 nt
Filed under: Eucalyptus grandis
Lineage: Eukaryota; Viridiplantae; Streptophyta; Magnoliopsida; Myrtales; Myrtaceae
Description: long non-coding RNA (EGRA_LNC002197)
Source: RNAcentral
CCAGACAAUAAAAUGAUGGGAUAGAAAAGCAGGGCCAUAUUUUUCAUAUUGAAAUUUAUAACCAAACUUUUAUACAAAACACAAACCAUUUCAUAACUAUUCACAUCAAAAUGGAAAUCUCAAAAGAAGAUAGGAUCUCAAUCCAUCCAGGCCGUACUCAAGACCCCUCUCGGGACUAUCUUCUUCUUCCAAAAUUCUUCUCCUCAGGUUUUACCUCCGAGUUCUCCUUCCUAGACUCCUCCUCCUCAGCUCCUCAUCGGGGUCCUGAAAUGUUUUCCCCAAACUGGGAUGAGACUACGUCUCAGCGAGUUCUACCCCACUAA